This 440-nucleotide ribosomal RNA is filed under the name uncultured bacterium. Its description in RNAcentral is "partial 16S ribosomal RNA". It matches the Rfam family "Bacterial small subunit ribosomal RNA", at positions 338 to 795 of the family's 1533-position model. The record is from RNAcentral.
CCUACGGGGGGCAGCAGUGGGGAAUAUUGCACAAUGGGCGAAACCCUGAUCCAGCGAAGCCGCGUGAGUGAAGAAGUAACUCGUUAUGUUAAGCUCUAUCUGCAGGGAAGAAAAUGCCGGUACCUGAGUCAGAAGCCCCGGCUAACUACGUGCCAGCAGCCGCGGUACUACGUAGGAGGCAAGCGUUAUCCGGAUUUACUGGGUGUAAAGGGAGCGUAGACGGCAGUGCAGGUCUGGAGUGAAAGGCGGGGGCUCAACCCCCGGACUGCUCUGGAAACUGUACGGCUGGAGUGCAGGAGAGGUAAGUGGAAUUCCUAGUGUAGCGGUGAAAUGCGUAGAUAUUAGGAGGAACACCAGUUGCGAAGGCGGCUUACUGGACUGUAACUGACGUUGAGGCUCGAAAGCGUGGGGAGCAAACAGGAUUAGAUACCCUAGUAGUC